UAGUGGCGAACGGGUGAGUAACACGUGGGCAAUCUGCCCUUCACUCUGGGACAAGCCCUGGAAACGGGGUCUAAUACCGGAUAACACUCUGUCCCGCAUGGGACGGGGUUGAAAGCUCCGGCGGUGAAGGAUGAGCCCGCGGCCUAUCAGCUUGUUGGUGGGGUGAUGGCCUACCAAGGCGACGACGGGUAGCCGGCCUGAGAGGGCGACCGGCCACACUGGGACUGAGACACGGCCCAGACUCCUACGGGAGGCAGCAGUGGGGAAUAUUGCACAAUGGGCGAAAGCCUGAUGCAGCGACGCCGCGUGAGGGAUGACGGCCUUCGGGUUGUAAACCUCUUUCAGCAGGGAAGAAGCGAGAGUGACGGUACCUGCAGAAGAAGCGCCGGCUAACUACGUGCCAGCAGCCGCGGUAAUACGUAGGGCGCAAGCGUUGUCCGGAAUUAUUGGGCGUAAAGAGCUCGUAGGCGGCUUGUUGCGUCGGUUGUGAAAGCCCGGGGCUUAACCCCGGGUCUGCAGUCGAUACGGGCAGGCUAGAGUGUGGUAGGGGAG
This 552-nucleotide ribosomal RNA is filed under the name Streptomyces sp. 303E10. RNAcentral's name for it is "bacterial SSU rRNA". It matches the Rfam family "Bacterial small subunit ribosomal RNA", at positions 93 to 659 of the family's 1533-position model. Lineage: Bacteria; Bacillati; Actinomycetota; Actinomycetes; Kitasatosporales; Streptomycetaceae. The record is from RNAcentral.